This 623-nucleotide long non-coding RNA is filed under the name Homo sapiens (human). Its description in RNAcentral is "HSALNT0352424". The record is from RNAcentral. Lineage: Eukaryota; Metazoa; Chordata; Mammalia; Primates; Hominidae.
UCUACAAAAAGAGUGUUUCCAAACUGCUCAAUCAAAAGGAAGUUUCAACUCUGUGAGAUGAAUGCACACAUCACAAAGAAGUUUCUCAGAAUUCUUCUGUCUAGUUUUUAUGGGAAGAUAUUUCCUUUUCCACCAUAGGCCUAAAAGCGCUCCAAAUUUUCACUUGCAGAUUCUACAAACAGAGAGUUUCAAAACUGCUCAAUCAAAAAAAAGUUUUAACUCUGUGAGAUGAAAGCACACAUCACAAAGAAGUUUCUCAGUAUUCUUCAAUCUGGUUUUGAUGUGAAGAUAUUUUCUUUUCCACAUUGUCCUCAAACCGCUCCAAAUGUACACUUCCAGAUUCUACAAAAACAGAGUUUAAAAAAUGCUCCAUCAAAAGAAAUGUUUAAGUCUCUGAGAAGAAUGCACACAUCACAAAUUAUUUUCUCAUAUUGCUUCUGUCUAGAUUUUAUUUGCAGGUAUUUCCUUUUCUACCACUGGCCACAAAGCGCUCCAAAUCUGCACUUGCAGAUUCUGCAAAAGGAGUGCUUCCAAAAUGCUCAAUCAAAAUGAAGGUUCAACUCAGUGAGAUUAAUGCACACAUCACAAAGAAGUUUCUCAGAAUUCUUCUGUCUAGUAUUUAU